Molecule: ribosomal RNA, 253 nt
Filed under: uncultured bacterium
Lineage: Bacteria
Description: partial 16S ribosomal RNA
Rfam family: Bacterial small subunit ribosomal RNA
Source: RNAcentral
UACGUAGGGUCCGAGCGUUGUCCGGAAUCACUGGGCGUAAAGGGCGCGUAGGCGGCAUGCCAAGCGUGUGGUGAAAGCCCGGGGCUCAACCCCGGGUCGGCCGUGCGGACUGGCGUGCUCGAGCACUGUAGGGGCGGGUGGAAUUCCGGGUGUAGCGGUGGAAUGCGUAGAGAUCGGGAGGAACACCAGAGGCGAAGGCGGCGACCUGGACAGAUACUGACACUCAACUGCGAAAGCAUGGGGAGCAAACAGG